Molecule: ribosomal RNA, 468 nt
Filed under: uncultured bacterium
Lineage: Bacteria
Description: bacterial SSU rRNA
Rfam family: Bacterial small subunit ribosomal RNA
Source: RNAcentral
GACGAACGCUGGCGGCGUGCCUAACACAUGCAAGUCGAGCGGAGAUAGGCGGAAGGUAACUGAAGCUUAUCUUAGCGGCGGACGGGUGAGUAACACGUGGGCAACCUGCCUUGAAGUGGGGGAUAACACCGGGAAAUCGGUGCUAAUACCGCAUAACAUGCACAAACUGCAUGGUGAGUGUAUCAAAGGAGCAAUCCGCUUUAAGAUGGGCCCGCGGCUGAUUAGCUAGUUGGUAAGGUAACGGCUUACCAAGGCGACGAUCAGUAGCCGACCUGAGAGGGUGACCGGCCACACUGGAACUGAGACACGGUCCAGACUCCUACGGGAGGCAGCAGUGGGGAAUAUUGCGCAAUGGGGGGAACCCUGAUGCAGCGACGCCGCGUGAGCGAAGAAGGCCUUGGUCGUAAAGCUCUGUCCUAAGGGAAGAAACGGACGGUACCUUAGGAGGAAGCCCCGGCUAACUACGUG